UACAGAGGUCUCAAGCGUUGUUCGGAAUCACUGGGCGUAAAGGGUGCGUAGGCUGCGCGGAAAGUCGGAUGUGAAAUCCGGAGGCUUAACCUCCGAAUUGCAUUCGAUACUGCCGUGCUAGAGUUCUGAAGGGGGGUCUGGAAUUCUCGGUGUAGCAGUGAAAUGCGUAGAUAUCGAGAGGAACACUAGUGGCGAAGGCGAGACCCUGGGAAGAUACUGACGCUGAGGUACGAAGGCUAGGGUAGCAAACGGG
Molecule: ribosomal RNA, 253 nt
Filed under: uncultured bacterium
Lineage: Bacteria
Description: partial 16S ribosomal RNA
Rfam family: Bacterial small subunit ribosomal RNA
Source: RNAcentral